Molecule: ribosomal RNA, 478 nt
Filed under: uncultured bacterium
Lineage: Bacteria
Description: partial 16S ribosomal RNA
Rfam family: Bacterial small subunit ribosomal RNA
Source: RNAcentral
GAUGAACGCUGGCGGCGUGCUUAACACAUGCAAGUCGAACGGGAAUUCUUUUAUUGAAACUUCGGUCGAUUUAAUUUAAUUCUAGUGGCGGACGGGUGAGUAACGCGUGGGUAACCUGCCUUAUACAGGGGGAUAACAGUCAGAAAUGGCUGCUAAUACCGCAUAAGCGCACAGAGCUGCAUGGCUCAGUGUGAAAAACUCCGGUGGUAUAAGAUGGACCCGCGUUGGAUUAGCUUGUUGGCAGGGUAACGGCCUACCAAGGCGACGAUCCAUAGCCGGCCUGAGAGGGUGAACGGCCACAUUGGGACUGAGACACGGCCCAGACUCCUACGGGAGGCAGCAGUGGGGAAUAGUGCACAAUGGGGGAAACCCUGAUGCAGCGACGCCGCGUGAAGGAAGAAGUAUCUCGGUAUGUAAACUUCUAUCAGCAGGGAAGAUAGUGACGGUACCUGACUAAGAAGCCCCGGCUAACUACGUG